RNAcentral lists this small RNA (522 nucleotides) under Histoplasma ohiense. RNAcentral describes it as "hypothetical lncRNA". Lineage: Eukaryota; Fungi; Ascomycota; Eurotiomycetes; Onygenales; Ajellomycetaceae. The record is from RNAcentral.
UAGAUUACAUAUUGAAUGGCAGUGCCGAUAUUCAGUAUAAAAUACAGUGUGAAUUUCUGCCAAGAUUUAUAGUGCUGUCUAGCUGUCUUUUUGCCGGCGCAAUACUUUUGGUAGCGUCCUCCGUAGUUCUUAUAUAGAUUCAUUUAUCCUACAUAAAAUCAUCAACAUAUCUUAGCAGAUACUAGAUACUUUGCUGUUAAAUCUCUAUUUAACCCACUACUAGUACUGUUUGAAGCAACCUGGGCGAGUGGGCAUUUUCUAGAUUUUCAACUCUUCAACUAUUCUGUCCAUUUGUUUUGAGAACCGCGAUUUGCUUUUUGGCUGUAGCUUGACGUUGUCUAGUCUACCACCAUGUCACCUUCAUAAGCGCGCUUCGUUGAUAUGCUGAAGGCCAGCAAUGUUCUUACCCACUUACCUGAGUAGAAAUGCACUGCUACCGGCAAUCAUCCAGCUAUCCAUCAGCUAGUCUACAAUCUACGACAUUUGUAAUGUCCUUUCAACUUCGCCUCUAUCUUAUUUGCC